RNAcentral lists this ribosomal RNA (430 nucleotides) under Pseudomonadota bacterium. RNAcentral describes it as "Proteobacteria bacterium partial 16S ribosomal RNA". It matches the Rfam family "Bacterial small subunit ribosomal RNA", at positions 355 to 776 of the family's 1533-position model. The record is from RNAcentral. Lineage: Bacteria; Pseudomonadati; Pseudomonadota.
UGGGGAAUAUUGGACAAUGGGCGAAAGCCUGAUCCAGCCAUGCCGCGUGUGUGAAGAAGGCCUUAUGGUUGUAAAGCACUUUAAGCGAGGAGGAGGGUACUGGUAUUAAUACUACCAGGUACUGGACGUUACUCGCAGAAUAAGCACCGGCUAACUCUGUGCCAGCAGCCGCGGUAAUACAGAGGGUGCGAGCGUUAAUCGGAUUUACUGGGCGUAAAGCGUGCGUAGGCGGCUAAUUGAGUCGGAUGUGAAAUCCCCGAGCUUAACUUGGGAAGUGCAUUCGAUACUGGUUAGCUAGAGUGUGGGAGAGGAUGGUAGAAUUCCAGGUGUAGCGGUGAAAUGCGUAGAGAUCUGGAGGAAUACCGAUGGCGAAGGCAGCCAUCUGGCCUAACACUGACGCUGAGGUACGAAAGCAUGGGGGGCAAACAGG